Cylas formicarius (sweet potato weevil) is the source of this 3057-nucleotide RNA transcript. RefSeq lists it as uncharacterized. Lineage: Eukaryota; Metazoa; Arthropoda; Insecta; Coleoptera; Brentidae. The record is from RefSeq and is a predicted model, not a curated record. The transcript is spliced from 7 exons.
UAAAAACAAUGGCUAAGCUUUCAGAUAAGGUGAUUUCAACAAAUCUAGAUAUAUUUUGUCUGGUUUUUGUGGAAGCGUUUCCCAAAGAAAAUGAACAUCCCAAUUGUGUGCUAUGUAUUUAUUUUAUGCGGGCUGUGUUAUAGGACUAAAAGUGAAAAUCGGGUUAAGCCACCCGUUCCCAGUUCGUUCGACUUUAAGGAAGAAAAAGAGAAUGCGGAUACAUUUGAUUUAACUUUAAGUAAUCACAGUAACGCUACUACGACAAGAAGGAUAGAGAAAGAUUGUCGCGUAAACAUCAGAGAUUUGUCGCAAAGGAAACCUCUACUACGCAAUCCUGAGUCGAAAACAAUCCUUCUACCAGAUGCCGCUGGUUCGAGCAUUAUAACAAUACGAGCGGGCUGUUUCAUAGAAAUAGACUGUCCUGGUGCCGAUAUCCUAGUUGGAUCUUUGAAAUUGGGAGAAGUAACCGAGGCCCUGUGCAUCUCAGGAACGAAGUUCAGGGUGCAACAGAAACUAAUCCAGUUCGAAGAUAUUGUUUGUUCGAGAAGAAUUAACAGCAUAGCACGAUAUACGACCCACAAAUGUUUCGAAAGGGGACUAGAAAUUGAAAUUGGAUUCAAGUUUUCAGAUGGAAACUUCAUACGAGAGAUGACUACCUGUUUUGACGAGGACACUAGGGAAGUAUAUUAUUCUCUUUUCGAGUUAUCACACCAAAUCGGCGAUCAAAACACAGGCGGCACUAGACCAUCGUGGACGGAAGGGAAUUUCUAUAACUUGGACACGCGGCUUAAUAGCAUAUAUCCAAAUGCCGCGCAACGAUCAAUGAUUAACAGACAACUCGGGCUUUCUGAUAAUGACACCAAAUACGUCAAACCUACCGGAAAUUAUUACCUUGCAAGGGGACAUCUCACUGCGAGAUCAGACUUCAUUUACUACGCUCAACAGGAGGCCACUUUCCAUUAUAUCAAUUCGGUACCGCAAUGGCAAACGUUUAAUGGCUUCAACUGGUUUUACUUGGAAAGGAAUCUUAGGCAAUACGCCGCCAAUAAGGGACUUGACUUAAUAGUAAUGACAGGGGGUUACGGGGUUUCUGCUCUUCCGCACGAAAUAAAUGGGAACCCCGUCGCAUUGCACCUCUACGUAGACGACAACGGUAAUAAAGCGAUUCCAGUUCCGGAAUUGUUUUGGAAACUAGCUUAUAGCCCAUCGACUAAGGCUGGAAUAGCGCUGCUUGGCGUAAACAAUCCGUAUGAAGAAGACGUGUCGAAGAGCAUCAUUUGCGAUGAUAUUGCCGAUAAGGAUAAACAAAAAAUUGCGUUCUGGAGUAGCCUUGUUAGUAUUUAGAGUCCGUCUCAAUACAGGAGAGCCAAGUGACGUCAGAUGCGCAGAAGACGAAUUUCAAACGGCAAUCAGCUGUCAUUCGCCAUUGGCGUGGAUGAAAUCGUUCCGGUUAUUUACUUUUCGUGGCUGUCGUUUGUGGGUGUUUAUAUUUCGUUCAUUUUUAUAGACUAUUAUUUUCGUUUUGGUUGCAGUAUCUUGGUUAAGUGGACACACAUCUGAUAAAGGAUGGUUUGAUGACAGCGAGAAUGGAAAAAGAAGACCAAUCGCAAAAGGGCAACGGCUUAUCAUUGUACAUGCUGGUGGGGAAAGAGGUUUUAUUAAUAACGCUUUGCUGAUAUUUCGUUCUGGUAAGAUUAUUUUAUUAAAAACCCAAUUUGAACUAAUUUAAAACACAUUUUAGGUUCUAAGGGUGCUGAUUACCACCACGACAUUAACCAUGCGAAUUUUAUGCUGUAGGUGGAAACUAAGUUGCUUUCUAAUCUACCUCCUUGAUCUGUCCUAGUGAUAGACAAUACUCCUUAUCAUAAUGUGACAGUUGCAAAACAUAUAACUUCUGCAAAGAGCAAGCAGGAAAUGAAGCAAUGGCUCCAAGAAAAAAAACAUUCCUUUUGACGAAACAUUAUUGAAACCGGAAUUCUAUGAUUUAAUUUUAAAAAAUAAGUUUAAAUACCAAGGCAGAUAUAAACUCCAUGACGUAUUACCUUACCAUCCAGAUCUUAACCCCAUCGAGAAAAUUUUGGUAACUGUCAAAAACUAGGUAGCAAGCCAAAACAUUACUUUGAAAUUGCCUGACAUGGAAAAAAAUAUUUGAAAAAAAAGAAUUUUUUUCAAAUAUGCUUUGCAGUCGAAAGAAAAAUAGUGUACAUUAGUCAUGUAAAAGAAAGUUUUUAAACUCAAAGAAUUUAAGCACACAGCUUACGGCUCGUGCCAAAUACUUCUCGUUUCAAAAAUUUCAUUUCUUGUUAUGUAAUAUACCGUUAAUAUAAUAUGUAUCUUUCAUUGAGAAAGUUUAACUGGACUCGCAGGCUUCCAGGACUUUGCCUUGGAAAUUUGCUUACUGAUCAGUAAAAUUACACUUUCGGGACUUGUUACAAAAACUGUUAUUUUUUACUACUUCAGCUUCAUGAUUAUUUUGAGUAUUUGUUUUUCAGAAUGUGUUCUAUUUAUUGCUUAUAACUUUUAAUUGUUUAUUUUGAUUAAAUAUUGUUUACUUGUUAUUGAUGUACCUAACUUAAUUUCCCAUUCGAUUAAAUAAUUUAAUAUUUUUCCUGUCUUUCGUCAGUGAUAUACUACGCUGCUAAACUGGAAAAUCCCAUCCGACUUUUGGAAAGCUUGGGAGAACACAAUAUACGAAAAUAAUAAACGUUAUGGGAAUUAAAAAUUUGGUGAAAGCGCCAGGCAUUGAACAAUAAAAACACGUAAUUGAAAUAAGUGCCGCCACUGGCUCUCCUACACGAUAAAGAACGCAAUAACACGAGAAGGAUAAUAGGACGCUUAUUUCGCGCAACGAACAAUGACGUCACUGGCCUCUUCUCUAUUGAGACAGAUUCUAACCGAACAAUGACGUCACUGGCCUCUUCUCUAUUGAGACAGAUUCUAACCCACCUUCGAGACUUCUGAUUAAUUUUUAAAUAAUAAUAAUAAAUGGUUACUUUUUGCCGAUACCAAACCAUAUUUUAUUCAUUGUUUUCCGAUAAAAUCGUUGAGGAUUGUGUU